This 927-nucleotide long non-coding RNA is filed under the name Homo sapiens (human). RNAcentral's name for it is "non-protein coding lnc-ACSBG1-5:3". Lineage: Eukaryota; Metazoa; Chordata; Mammalia; Primates; Hominidae. The record is from RNAcentral.
UUUAGUGAUGUUAGUUGACCUUAGCUGGAACAAAAGUCAACAAGUAAUCCUUUUAAACAGUAAAACUCUUAGUUUUUUCAUUAUAAAUUGAGGCUUCUACCAAAGUGACUCUAAGGUAGACUUGUGUUCCAAUGGUAACUUAAAAUAUGUAAAUGUUUGUAAAAUGUUGUUUAUAGAUCCCAGUGUUGGUCAGGCCUGGGAUGGCCAAGACAGUUGGAAAGCAGGAGAUGGACAACUUGAAGGCAUUGCACAGUGCUUUAGAGGCCUCCUGCGAGCCUUGGUUUUGAAGCUUUAACAGGCCUCCCUCCCAUCUGGAAAUAGGUAGCUGUGUCUGAGACUCCUGGAGAACAAUUAAUAUGAGGGCCAGGCAGAUCACAAUUUCAGGAAAAUGGCUACCCUGUGAGGAGAGAAAGCCACCCAAUGAUGCUGAUACCUGGCCAUUUCCUGUACCGAGGCAUGGGGUUGGGGGGUCUGAAGUUAGAAGAAUGUAAGUCAUCAAAGGAUUUUUGGUCGAAGUCCUUCCAACUUCAAACCGAUACUAAUGUUCACUUUUUAAAAUAGUUCGUCUGACAAAAGUGUAAAAGUUUGGGAUGUUGGAACGAGGACUUGUGUUCACACCUUCUUUGAUCACCAGGAUCAGGUCUGGGGAGUAAAAUACAAUGGAAAUGGUUCAAAAAUUGUGUCUGUUGGAGAUGACCAGGAAAUUCACAUCUAUGAUUGUCCAAUUUAAACAUCAAAGUCUCCAGGCUUAUGCUGCAAAGAGAAUGUACGGAUUGAUCAUGACAUUCCUUACCUUCUUAGGCUUGUUUAAAAGAAAUAUAGCAUUUAUUGUAGCAAAGACUUAAAUUUUGUAGAUACAAUAUGAAUCUUUUCAUGUUUUAUUGGAAAUGCUGUUCAUACUUUAACAUAAAGCUUUCUUAAUGCAAA